CUCGGCCUUUCGCGGUUUUAACACCCAAACCUGGUCAGGAUCGGAAGGUAGCAGCCACAAGGGAUGCUUGAGGCAGGCGAG
Molecule: signal recognition particle RNA, 81 nt
Filed under: Prochlorococcus marinus str. MIT 9515
Lineage: Bacteria; Bacillati; Cyanobacteriota; Cyanophyceae; Synechococcales; Prochlorococcaceae
Description: Bacterial small signal recognition particle RNA
Rfam family: Bacterial small signal recognition particle RNA
About the family: The signal recognition particle (SRP) is a universally conserved ribonucleoprotein involved in the co-translational targeting of proteins to membranes. Archaeal SRP consists of a 7S RNA and homologues of the eukaryotic SRP19 and SRP54 proteins.
Source: Rfam by way of RNAcentral